UGGGGAAUAUUGGACAAUGGGCGGAAGCCUGAUCCAGCCAUGCCGCGUGUGUGAAGAAGGCCUUUUGGUUGUAAAGCACUUUAAGCGAGGAGGAGGCUACUUGGAUUAAUACUCUAGGAUAGUGGACGUUACUCGCAGAAUAAGCACCGGCUAACUCUGUGCCAGCAGCCGCGGUAAUACAGAGGGUGCGAGCGUUAAUCGGAUUUACUGGGCGUAAAGCGUGCGUAGGCGGCUUCUUAAGUCGGAUGUGAAAUCCCUGAGCUUAACUUAGGAAGUGCAUUCGAUACUGGGAAGCUAGAGUAUGGGAGAGGAUGGUAGAAUUCCAGGUGUAGCGGUGAAAUGCGUAGAGAUCUGGAGGAAUACCGAUGGCGAAGGCAGCCAUCUGGCCUAAUACUGACGCUGAGGUACGAAAGCAUGGGGAGCAAACAGG
This 430-nucleotide ribosomal RNA is filed under the name bacterium. RNAcentral describes it as "partial 16S ribosomal RNA". It matches the Rfam family "Bacterial small subunit ribosomal RNA", at positions 355 to 776 of the family's 1533-position model. RNAcentral also lists the same sequence under 1 other name. The record is from RNAcentral.